Astatotilapia calliptera (eastern happy) is the source of this 3330-nucleotide long non-coding RNA. Lineage: Eukaryota; Metazoa; Chordata; Actinopteri; Cichliformes; Cichlidae. The record is from Ensembl.
CUGAUCCAAAAUCCUCAAAGCUUCAUAGAACUGAAACAAACAUUUAUUUUUAGCUCCAUUCUGCUGCUGAUACAGACUUUAGGUUUCUGAACAUUACACUUGUUGCUGCCUUUCAUAGUGUGUAACUUGAAGGCCCUGAGUACUUUCUCCCACACUGAAAACACUGGGAUGAUCACAUUAUUUGAACAUUACCUAAUAAGACUGAUUCAGGACAGACAAUUAGUUAUGUUAAACUUUCCUAGCAGUCCUUCACAAACAGGGAACAGUCUGUCUAUUCUCUCCAUCUGUCAGCUGCUGCUGGCUCUUCCUCCUCCUCUUCCUCACACACUGCUGAGUUUGUCCUGGUGGAUCAUCAGGGCUGCAAAGCCUCAUAGAUGAUAUGCAGCAGUGGGUCCCUCAGUCUGUCCUCACUCUGGACACUUGCAGUCGUCACACAUGGAAAUCAAAUGUGUGAUAAGCUGCAGGAUUCAAACACAAGUGUAACUUAUAAACACAUGUUCAUACUUUUAUUCCACAAUCAGAAAGAAACAGAGAGAGAGUGCAGGACAGACAGACAGGUGACAGUCUCAGGUGUACACACUGCUACAAACAGGAGGAUUUAGUGUUUGUGUUAUUACGAGUGCUAAACAAGAAGAGUUCCAGAUGGUGCAGUGGACACAUGUGUGACUGCUGUGAUUAAAGCAUCUUUCUUUCAGCUUAACGAGUGAACCGUCAGCUCGUUCAAACACACGUUAAAGUCCGUUUGGCUCGACACCACCGAACAGAGGCAGCAAUAUAACAUAGCUAACAUUAACAGUGCAGUGAAUCCUGCUGGUGCCGUGAUAUUCAGGACUGCAAACCGAGCAGCAUCACUGACUUUCAGCUUGUUGUGUUUGUGGAUAUAUGACUGACUUUAAUUAUCCAUAAAAUCAUCAGAUUCUCUGUAAGAUUAAGGUCGACUAUCGAACGGCGUAUAAAGGCUUUAAAACAAAGUAAACGCUGAAAGUUCAAACAUCGCUAAUGUCACAUAACUUUGCCGGCAUGUGGCCAACAGUAAUGUUUUAAUGUUUCUCAUUAUUAAACAUUUGCACAUAAAUAAGUGACAUAACAUUCAGUACUUACUUUUGAAAGUUUACUCUUUGGCUGCUCCGCUUCCACUUCUUUGAAGUGUCUCCCAGUCCCAGUGCACUUGUUAGCAUGUUUUGGUUCAUGCAACUGGUCCGUCCGCUUAUUGUCUCCCCAGAAACAUUUCCGUUGUGUUGUGUGUGCUUUUGCAGCGUUUUUCUUUUUGCAGCGUUUUUCUUUUUGCAGCAUUUUUCUUUUUGCAGCGUUUUUCUUUUUUGCAGCGUUUUUCUUUUUGCAGCAUUUUUCUUUUUGCAGCGUUUUUCUUUUCGCAGCAUUUUUCUUUUUGCAGCAUUUUUCUUUUUGCAGCAUUUUUCUUUUUGCAGCAUUUUUCUUUUUGCAGGUGUUUUUCUUUUUGCAGCGUUUUUCUUUUUGCAGCAUUUUUCUUUUUGCGGCAUUUUUCUUUUUGCAGCGUUUUUCUUUUCGCAGCAUUUUUCUUUUUGCAGCAUUUUUUCUUUUUGCAGCGUUUUUCUUUUUGCAGCAUUUUUCUUUUUGCAAGUGUUUUCUGAAGUUGCAGUCCGUUUGGCCUCUCAGGGCCACCGUAAAAAAAAAAAGGCUUUAGGAUAUAAGGUUUCCUGGAAUAAUCUACAAAUUGAGCUAAAAUUGUCAGAAACGAGAGAACAGCUCUUUUGGUCAGUGUUCUUGUUUUGGUCAUUUAUUGCACACAACUCAUACAUUUGUGUUCACUGGUCUGUACAGAAUAUAGUAUUUAAACAUUCUGAAUGAAUAUUGGUUCUUUACUUGUUAUAUUAUUAGUGGUAUUUGUUGUAACAUCUUCUGCCCCCUGCUGGUCUCUCUUGGAAAUAUGAGAAACGAGUCUUUUGUCUGGAUUAACUGCAAAUAAUGAAAGAACAGCUUGUCCACAUGCAGCCUCUGUGUCAGAUCAAUGCAGUGAAGCACACACACUGUUUAGUAAAGUCAUGUUGUGGAGCUGUUUCACUGAUCAGUGACUGAGUCUGAAGAAGGUUUUCUGACUUCUGGAACAAACCUGGAAGUUUCUCUUCAGCUCUCUGUAUCAGCUGUGUGUAACUCUCAACUCUUUCAGCUUCUGGAGCAAGUUUGUGUGAGCUCUACUUGUGUAUAGUACGGGACACUCACCUGAUUUAUAAUAUUGACGGAAAUAACAUAUGAGACUUCCAGAAACCAAAAGAAAAAUCAGCAGAAUCAGGAGAGCUUUGGCCCAGGAUGGAAACCGUUCUGUGAAGUUCAGAAAAACAUGACCUUUGACCUCUGACUGAAUGUGGUGAUAUAUUUUAUUGAACAUACCUCAAGCUAAUAUUUUUUGAGUGAACAUAUUUAUGCAGCAAUAAAAUAGUAAAGUUUUAUCUGAGUGAUGUCAGAUUUGUCUACAGCAGGUGUUUGUUGUUGACCUUUGACCUGCAGCUGUACAUCACUCCGACUCAGCUCAUCUCCAAAGUCUCUGACGGAGCAGGUGUAGGUGGCGCUGUCAGACAGUUGGAGGUUGGUUAGGUUCAGGCUGAGGUCUCCAGUUUCCAGAGCGUCAGCCUUCAUGGAUGUUCGGCCGCUGUAACGCUGGUUUUGAUCUUUCAGUUCGUCUCCUUGAAGCUGACGCUGGUGGACGGUUGGAGGACUGAGGUCGGAGCGACUCCACACCACUGUGGAUUUAGUCAGAUUAAAAGUGUCGACGUGACAGGGCAGGAUGAACGUGUCCCCCUCAUGCAGCUCCACAGCUGAGGCAUGCUGGGAAACUGGGGACACACAGAAAGAGACUCCAUGAGUCACUUUAAGGUGAAGAUCAAGUUUAGACACAUUUACAGAAACCAGGAGACAGAACGACAGAAACAUUCAACAUUUUAACAACUCAUUAAAAAGAACACAGCGCAGAUCAGAGGCAGGAAGUCCAUCACAUAAAAAUGUCAAACUAAGUCCAAAGUCUGAAACAGUGAGAAGUUCUAACAACAACCCAACAAAGAACAUUACCUCCUACGUUCUGUUCCUAACUACUGUGUACACCAUGUGAUAGUUGCUUGUUGUAGUUCUUAUGUAUUUGGUGACUUAUUUGGAAAGACAGGGCGAGAUGUUCUCAGCAUUUGUUGGUAACUGGUGGGUCAAACCCGCAAACAAAAACUUUGUCUCUAUCCUGUAACUGUUCGUCUCCAAAAGCUCAGGAUUACAACCAUAAAUAACAAAAACCAUGACAGUGUGUCAGGCACGGAUCAAGGUUUGUUUAAAGAAAAUAUCUUUCUGACACAUGCACAACUGAAACCA